Musca domestica (house fly) is the source of this 411-nucleotide long non-coding RNA. RefSeq lists it as uncharacterized. The transcript has 3 exons. NCBI's taxonomy places the organism in Eukaryota, Metazoa, Arthropoda, Insecta, Diptera, Muscidae. The record is from RefSeq and is a predicted model, not a curated record.
CUACGUUUUUCUUCAUAUAUAUUUUUUAAUUUUAAUUUUUUUUUAAUAUUUUUUAUUUUUUUAAUAUUUAAAUUCCAUUUAAACUUUAUUGACAGUAAAUAUCACUUUUUAUUAACUUUAUCUUUUUUUAACAGGAACAACAACCCCUCAUAACACUUGCAGCAUUUCUUUCACUCAACAACAUUAAGGUGUGCGUGUUCGGCGUUUUCCCUCAUCAGCCAUUCUCCGCUAUUAGGACACUAUUGACAGAUUUGAUGCAUAAUUAUACAGUGGACAUUGAUAAUAGUUCCUCUUUAAUUAACUGUAAUUAUUAAUAUCUGAUUGUAUUGUAUUUUAAUUACAAUUACAUGGAAAAAUAAAGAAAUCAUUGUCAAAACGUUUAAUGUGGUUUUAAUUGUUUUUGCUAUAAAG